CUACGGGGUGCAGCAGUGAGGAAUAUUGCACAAUGGGGGGAACCCUGAUGCAGCAACGCCGCGUGGAGGAUGACGCAUUUCGGUGUGUAAACUCCUUUUAUAUGUCAAGAAAAUGACGGUAGCAUAUGAAUAAGCACCGGCUAACUCCGUGCCAGCAGCCGCGGUAAUACGGAGGGUACAAGCGUUACUCGGAAUCACUGGGCGUAAAGGACGCGUAGGCGGGUUGGAAAGUCAGGUGUGAAAUCCUACAGCUUAACUGUAGAACUGCACUUGAAACUUCUAAUCUAGAGUAUGGGAGGGGGAGAUGGAAUUAGUGGUGUAGGGGUAAAAUCCGUAGAUAUCACUAGGAAUACCUAAAGCGAAGGCGAUCUCCUGGAACAUUACUGACGCUAAGGCGUGAGAGCGUGGGGAGCAAACAGGAUUAGAUACCCGCGUAGUC
This 439-nucleotide ribosomal RNA is filed under the name uncultured bacterium. RNAcentral describes it as "partial 16S ribosomal RNA". It matches the Rfam family "Bacterial small subunit ribosomal RNA", at positions 339 to 795 of the family's 1533-position model. The record is from RNAcentral.